CUGAAUCCCGUUCUGCUGGCGGCCAUCGUUUUUUUUAAAGAAAAUAACAGAUCAGUUAUGAGUUUCUGAGAAUUACAACUGCUCCACUUCAAGCAAGAUUGCUGGUUUCCUUGGACAAGCAACACUACAAACUCAUUGAGAGAAGAACAGAGAUAUAAUCUUCAUCUUCAAGUUCUUGAUCUGAGCCUGGAGGUGAAUGUAUGAAGAGAGUAUCUCCUGAAAUGUCUUAUGGUGUAUUUAGUGGAAGAAGUGGACCAACUGUUUAAACACUGGUUGUUCAGAAAGGUGAAGCUCAGGCUGAACUUGAGAGGUGCACGAUGGCCCUGUUUGCCCUCAGGGAGGAAGAGGACUGUCUUCAGCCACCACAGGAAGUCAGUCGCACAUGAAUGUUCCAUGUUUGGCCUUAUCUAUGCGUUAAACUUGAGCUAUCCUGGUGAGCUCAAACACACAUUUGUGGCCCGGCAGAAAAUAUUUAGGGAACGUAUUCUAUAUUGGCAUUAAAAUAUUAAAUUUUGGUCACACUAUUUGUCAAACAAUUGUCAGAUUUUAACA
Molecule: long non-coding RNA, 552 nt
Organism: Clarias gariepinus (North African catfish)
Lineage: Eukaryota; Metazoa; Chordata; Actinopteri; Siluriformes; Clariidae
Exons: 4
Source: RefSeq, a predicted model, not a curated record